AACUCAAAGGAAUUGACGGGGACCCAGCACAAGCGGUGGAUGAUGUGGAUUAAUUCCGAUGCAACAGCGAAGAACCUUACCUACCCUUGACAUGCCCGGGAAUCCUGCCCAGAGGCGGGA
RNAcentral lists this ribosomal RNA (120 nucleotides) under Tepidiphilus sp. enrichment culture clone SEQ38_7EClone_AER. RNAcentral's name for it is "Petrobacter sp. enrichment culture clone SEQ38_7EClone_AER partial 16S ribosomal RNA". It matches the Rfam family "Bacterial small subunit ribosomal RNA", at positions 898 to 1013 of the family's 1533-position model. Lineage: Bacteria; Pseudomonadati; Pseudomonadota; Hydrogenophilia; Hydrogenophilales; Hydrogenophilaceae. The record is from RNAcentral.